RNAcentral lists this ribosomal RNA (378 nucleotides) under Daphnia pulex (common water flea). RNAcentral describes it as "partial large subunit ribosomal RNA". It matches the Rfam family "Eukaryotic large subunit ribosomal RNA", at positions 34 to 386 of the family's 3401-position model. Lineage: Eukaryota; Metazoa; Arthropoda; Branchiopoda; Diplostraca; Daphniidae. The record is from RNAcentral.
UUAAGCAUAUCAGUAAGCGGAGGAAAAGAAACUAACAAGGAUUCCCUUAGUAGCGGCGAGCGAACAGGGAUGAGCCCAGCACCGAACCUCGCGCCCGGUUGAGCGGGUGCCGAGGAAUGUGGUGUUCGGGAGGAUCGUGCGCGCCUGUCCGGUAUCUAUCGUCCAAGUCUCCAUGAACGGGGCGAGCAACCCACAGAGGGUGUCAGGCCCGUAGAUAAGACGAGCCGAGACCGUGUAUCGGAUCCCUUCCCAAGAGUCGGGUUGCUUGAGCGUGCAGCCCUAAGCGGGAGGUAAACUCCUUCUAAGGCUAAAUAUCGCCACGAGACCGAUAGCGAACAAGUACCGCGAGGGAAAGUUGAAAAGAACUUUGAAGAGAGA